AAAAUGCACAUACUGUGAGCUCGAUGAGUAGGGCGGGACACGUGGUAUCCUGUCUGAAUAUGGGGGGACCAUCCUCCAAGGCUAAAUACUCCUGACUGACCGAUAGUGAACCAGUACCGUGAGGGAAAGGCGAAAAGAACCCCGGCGAGGGGAGUGAAAAAGAACCUGAAACCGUGUACGUACAAGCAGUGGGAGCACAGAGCAAUCUGUGUGACUGCGUACCUUUUGUAUAAUGGGUCAGCGACUUAUAUUCUGUAGCAAGGUUAACCGAAUAGGGGAGCCGAAGGGAAACCGAGUCUUAACUGGGCGUUAAGUUGCAGGGUAUAGACCCGAAACCCGGUGAUCUAGCCAUGGGCAGGUUGAAGGUUGGGUAACACUAACUGGAGGACCGAACCGACUAAUGUUGAAAAAUUAGCGGAUGACUUGUGGCUGGGGGUGAAAGGCCAAUCAAACCGGGAGAUAGCUGGUUCUCCCCGAAAGCUAUUUAGGUAGCGCCUCGUGAAUUCAUCUCCGGGGGUAGAGCACUGUUUCGGCAAGGGGGUCAUCCCGACUUACCAACCCGAUGCAAACUGCGAAUACCGGAGAAUGUUAUCACGGGAGACACACGGCGGGUGCUAACGUCCGUCGUGAAGAGGGAAACAACCCAGACCGCCAGCUAAGGUCCCAAAGUCAUGGUUAAGUGGGAAACGAUGUGGGAAGGCCCAGACAGCCAGGAUGUUGGCUUAGAAGCAGCCAUCAUUUAAAGAAAGCGUAAUAGCUCACUGGUCGAGUCGGCCUGCGCGGAAGAUGUAACGGGGCUAAACCAUGCACCGAAGCUGCGGCAGCGACGCUGAUGCGUUGUUGGGUAGGGGAGCGUUCUGUAAGCCUGUGAAGGUGUGCUGUGAGGCAUGCUGGAGGUAUCAGAAGUGCGAAUGCUGACAUAAGUAACGAUAAAGCGGGUGAAAAGCCCGCUCGCCGGAAGACCAAGGGUUCCUGUCCAACGUUAAUCGGGGCAGGGUGAGUCGACCCCUAAGGCGAGGCCGAAAGGCGUAGUCGAUGGGAAACAGGUUAAUAUUCCUGUACUUGGUGUUACUGCGAAGGGGGGACGGAGAAGGCUAUGUUGGCCGGGCGACGGUUGUCCCGGUUUAAGCGUGUAGGCUGGUUUUCCAGGCAAAUCCGGAAAAUCAAGGCUGAGGCGUGAUGACGAGGCACUACGGUGCUGAAGCAACAAAUGCCCUGCUUCCAGGAAAAGCCUCUAAGCAUCAGGUAACAUCAAAUCGUACCCCAAACCGACACAGGUGGUCAGGUAGAGAAUACCAAGGCGCUUGAGAGAACUCGGGUGAAGGAACUAGGCAAAAUGGUGCCGUAACUUCGGGAGAAGGCACGCUGAUAUGUAGGUGAAGUCCCUCGCGGAUGGAGCUGAAAUCAGUCGAAGAUACCAGCUGGCUGCAACUGUUUAUUAAAAACACAGCACUGUGCAAACACGAAAGUGGACGUAUACGGUGUGACGCCUGCCCGGUGCCGGAAGGUUAAUUGAUGGGGUUAGCGCAAGCGAAGCUCUUGAUCGAAGCCCCGGUAAACGGCGGCCGUAACUAUAACGGUCCUAAGGUAGCGAAAUUCCUUGUCGGGUAAGUUCCGACCUGCACGAAUGGCGUAAUGAUGGCCAGGCUGUCUCCACCCGAGACUCAGUGAAAUUGAACUCGCUGUGAAGAUGCAGUGUACCCGCGGCAAGACGGAAAGACCCCGUGAACCUUUACUAUAGCUUGACACUGAACAUUGAGCCUUGAUGUGUAGGAUAGGUGGGAGGCUUUGAAGUGUGGACGCCAGUCUGCAUGGAGCCGACCUUGAAAUACCACCCUUUAAUGUUUGAUGUUCUAACGUUGACCCGUGAUCCGGGUUGCGGACAGUGUCUGGUGGGUAGUUUGACUGGGGCGGUCUCCUCCUAAAGAGUAACGGAGGAGCACGAAGGUUGGCUAAUCCUGGUCGGACAUCAGGAGGUUAGUGCAAUGGCAUAAGCCAGCUUGACUGCGAGCGUGACGGCGCGAGCAGGUGCGAAAGCAGGUCAUAGUGAUCCGGUGGUUCUGAAUGGAAGGGCCAUCGCUCAACGGAUAAAAGGUACUCCGGGGAUAACAGGCUGAUACCGCCCAAGAGUUCAUAUCGACGGCGGUGUUUGGCACCUCGAUGUCGGCUCAUCACAUCCUGGGGCUGAAGUAGGUCCCAAGGGUAUGGCUGUUCGCCAUUUAAAGUGGUACGCGAGCUGGGUUUAGAACGUCGUGAGACAGUUCGGUCCCUA
Molecule: ribosomal RNA, 2272 nt
Filed under: Escherichia coli
Lineage: Bacteria; Pseudomonadati; Pseudomonadota; Gammaproteobacteria; Enterobacterales; Enterobacteriaceae
Description: partial 23S ribosomal RNA
Rfam family: Bacterial large subunit ribosomal RNA
Source: RNAcentral